CGCAAAUCCCCUGCUUUAAUUUCUCCACUCCACCCAACUCCCUCGCCGCUCAGCGGCUCGGCCAACCCAACCAACUCCCUCGCCGGCGGCCCCUCCGCCUCCCCUGAUUCCCCUAGACGCCGGCUUCAAGGUCCUCGCCAUCUGGAGCGCGCCUGGAGCUGGGCGCCCCCGUCGACGCUGCAGUCGUGGGCGACGGCCGCCAUGUCUCCCUCCACCCGCCUCAAUCUCUGCCUCGACGCACCAGUCCUGGGCGACGGCCCAAGCUGCAGCAGCAGCAACAACAGAGGCCGGCGUUAGAGGUGGAGAACCUCCUCCAUAGCGUCCUUGUCCCGCCACCGUGGCUCGCCCCGGGGAGACAAUGAGGGAGGAGAUGGUGGUCGCCUUCCCGGAGAUGCGGCCGCCGGCGACCUCCUGUACAACCUCCCCGAGCUGCGGCCGCCGGCGACGUCCCCGAUCCGCUGCUGCCGGAGACCACUCCGUCCCUCUUCCGUCGGCCACCUCCCCAACUUGCAGCUGCCCGGUGAGGUCCCUCACUACGUACUCUGCUUGCACUUGCCAUUUCAUCUUCAGAUUUGGGUAGCCUGUGUGAUGAUAACAGCAUUGCUUGUCCCCGCAUAUUUGUACUAGACAAAAAAGUUUCUGGAACACAUGUCCUGAUUCAAGAAAAUGUGUGAAUUGUCAAUGGUUAAGAAAGUGAUGAUCUAUAUGCAUGGUCCCAUGCGUUGUUCUUUUGUGUGCAUACUAAUAAGCAAAUAGUAAUUCAGCGCCGGUGUUGUCAUUACAUUCGAAUGCGUACUUCUCCUCUCUAUUUCCUCUGCCUGAAACCUCACUAUCGCCGGAGUUGAUUCAGAUCUGUGCGCGCGCGUGUGUGUCCACUGGGAAUAGGGAGGUGAGCGGGCUCGUGUUGGUCCCGACGGUGCAUUUGCAUCUGAGGGAUAAGAGUGUACAUGUUUUCUACGUAGUGAUCUUGAAGGAGGAGCCAAGUAGGCAAUAUAUAGGUAGUGAUCUCGCAGUUUGGUGGGUUUACUUUUAUAUAAUAAAAUAGAUACUCGAUUUCAUUCCAAGGAAGAUAAUAAUAAGGCGUUCCUCCUGUUCUUGCUACUGAAUACCUCCUAUGCAUGUCAACCUAAAUACUGACUUUUUUACAUCAAUGGUCUUUUUUCUCCCCUGAUAGCGUCUCUGAAGAAAAAAAAAAUCUCUGUGCUGUUCACGGUUGCUGAAUCGAUGUGCUUACCUAGUUUUACCAUCUCACUUGUUUCGAAGCAAGCAGACAAGCAGUGCUAAUAUAGGAGCACGGAAAAUGCAGAACUCUUGCGUCUUGUAGAAACCUGGUUAUCUUUUAUUUCUUUUGAUUUGAAGCAUAUACAUGUAAGCUUGUAUGAUACAAAGUUAACACAAUUGGAUACUACUCCCUCCGUCCAUAAAAGGAUGUACGAGAUGUUUCUAAAUUUGGAUGUAUCAUCUAAAUUUAGACAAACUUGCGACAUCCUUUAUGGGCAGAUGUAGUAUUAUCUUUGUAUGAUCGUAGUUUUAGUACUAUCUCUCACUUGUUUCAAAGCAAACAAAUAACUCAUGGUGUAAUGAACUAAUGAUGAUGAGUGCGAGUACAAGGCUUAGAAAGUUAGAAUUUGGUCUGCAACCUUUACCUUCUUUUGUUUUGAUAUAUAUCCGUGUAGGCUCAUAUGAUUUACAUCUAACAGCUUUUCUUUUGCGUCUGUUUUAAUAUACCAUAAAAGAAAAUUUGUGAUGUUUACAAAUUUCUGAAGGUCUUUCUAGUUUUGAAAUUUUGAUGAAUAUUGUCAACUAACACUUUCUAUCGCGGGACUUGGCGAAGGAACACAUUGAGGACUUUGCUUUGUUAGAUCCAUCAUCAUCCACUAACUCCAUGAAAGAUCCUGCUGAAAGUUCAAACUGAACAAAGCUUUGUACCAUGGGUGCUGAGAAGCAAGAGACCAAUAGUGGUACAAGACAGUGUUGCUGCUUCCUCUGUGUUGGUCAAAACACGUGGCCAGCUCGGUCAGCGGCGUCUAGAAUGUGAAGUGCUGCUGCUAGCCGCUGGAUCUGGCAUGGACAAGAAAGAAGAAAACAUUGUUGGUAGCUGUGAGUUGAAUGUAUCUCUGCACUAGAGCUUCCUAGCAGUUUAGUUAACGCAGCCGCAAGAGCAGCAGGCAGUGGUGUCCUCAGGGACACGCCAUUAGUUGAAUUGGUAUCCACCACUAUGACAACGGCCUUCUCUUAGAUUGCUACAACGACAUCUCUCUCUCGACCCCCUUUCUCCACUCAACUUGCUUACACCGCUGCAGCCUCUUGGUACUGCUCCCCGCUGCUUGUCCCACCUUGCCGCUCAGCGGCAGGCCACCCCACCACACCCACCCUACUCCCUCGCCGCCAGACACCCCCACCCACCCAAUCCCCUCCGGCGCCUGGUUCCCGCACGUCCUCCAUGCCCAAGACGUCGGCGUCAAGAACCUCAACCUAGUGCUGGUCCUUGCCAUCCAGAGCGCCUGAGCUGGGCGCCCCUGUCAUGCCCGCUAUGGUGCCUUAUGUUGACCUUGGCUGACGGCGCCCCUUCACCCCUCCAUACCCCAAUGCACCAGUUGCAGGCAAUGACAGAAGGAGCAGCCUAGACCUCCCGGAGCUUCCGUUAGCCACAUUCUGGAAAACCUCCCGGAGCUGCGGCCGCCAGCAACGUCCCCGACCGCCUGCUGCCAGAGACCAUUCCGUCCAGCCGCCGUCGGCCACGUCCCAAACUUGCAGCUGCUAGGACCCCGUUGAAAGUUCAAACUGAACAGUUUGCACCAUGGGUGACCAAUGGCAGUACAAGAUGGUGCUGCUACCGUGUUGGUCGACACACACUGCCAGCUCAGCCAUAAAGAGCGGAGUCGGAAUGGACAAGAAAGAAGACAACAUUGUUAGUAGCUGUGUGAGUUUAGUGUAUCUCUGCACUACAGCUUACUAUCAGUUUAGUUAACGCAGCCGAAAGAGUAGCAAUCAGUGGUGUCCUCGGUGACACGCCGGUAGUUGAAAUGGUACCCACCACUAUGACGAUGGCCAUCUCAUAAGUUAUGCUUAGGGUCCUUGUUCGGCAGUAU
This is a long non-coding RNA of Lolium perenne, 3092 nucleotides long. RefSeq lists it as uncharacterized. The record is from RefSeq and is a predicted model, not a curated record. NCBI's taxonomy places the organism in Eukaryota, Viridiplantae, Streptophyta, Magnoliopsida, Poales, Poaceae.